This 71-nucleotide transfer RNA is filed under the name Rhodoferax sp. OV413. RNAcentral's name for it is "Albidiferax sp. OV413 tRNA_Pseudo_GTC". The record is from RNAcentral. Lineage: Bacteria; Pseudomonadati; Pseudomonadota; Betaproteobacteria; Burkholderiales; Comamonadaceae.
GUGGCAAAUGCGGUUGGAAUUACAGCAUUGUCACUGCCGAGGUCGCGGGUUCGAAUCCCGCCGGUGCUGCA